Molecule: long non-coding RNA, 597 nt
Organism: Xenopus laevis (African clawed frog)
Lineage: Eukaryota; Metazoa; Chordata; Amphibia; Anura; Pipidae
Exons: 4
Source: RefSeq, a predicted model, not a curated record
CUCCGCCUCCGGGUUACGUGAUGCUGCGUCAGGCUUUACUUGCUCUGCGUGUUGCUGAGACCAUUAUUUUGGCAAAACGGUCACGCAACAUUACUCCAGUGCAGCCUCUGUUGUAUUGAGGAGACUUGGCUUCCACACUUACAGUCCUUGGGCCAAAAACAUGAGAAGUUCUGCUGCUUCUUCCCCGUCACGGAGAACUGACAAAGCCUUCCUGGUAAAAGGGGCCCCAGAUUUAAUUCCUUUCCAACACACAUUUUUAUACAACUAGCCUGAUCCAGUGGAAACGCGACCCAGACAUUACUCUCCUUCCUUUGCCGCUGAUGUGUACAAGCCUCUGAUGGGGCAUCAACAAUGAUUCAAGAUAUAUACAAGCAUCCCAGAUUUCUUAUACAAUGAGAACAAGUGAGCACCUGUGCCUCAGGUACAUAAGAUGCACUUAAAUGCACUUAAUAAAAAAUAAAUAUAAUGAUACUGGCACCAUACUCAGAUUUUCUCUCCCUUUCUGUGGCUUUUAUUUUCAACAACCAUCCAUCACCUUAUGUUUAUCUAUGCUAGCCUCUUAUUCUUCCCUCCUUUCCAUUUUGUUUCCUUUUAUGC